RNAcentral lists this ribosomal RNA (405 nucleotides) under uncultured bacterium. Its description in RNAcentral is "bacterial SSU rRNA". It matches the Rfam family "Bacterial small subunit ribosomal RNA", at positions 355 to 776 of the family's 1533-position model. The record is from RNAcentral.
UGAGGGAUUUUGCGCAAUGGACGAAAGUCUGACGCAGCGACACCGCGUGAGUGAUGAAGGCCUUCGGGUUGUAAAGCUCUGUCAGAGGGGAAGAGUAAGGACGGUACCCUCGGAGGAAGCCUCGGCUAACUACGUGCCAGCAGCCGCGGUAAGACGUAGGGGGCAAGCGUUGUCCGGAAUUACUGGGCGUAAAGAGCUCGUAGGUGGGACUAUAAGUCGAUGAGUAAAUAUCUCGGCUCAACUGAGAUGCCAUUGUCGAUACUGUGGUUCUUGAGGACAGGAGAGGAAAGUGGAAUUCCCGGUGUAGCGGUGAAAUGCGUAGAGAUCGGGAGGAACACCAGUGGCGAAGGCGGCUUUCUGGCCUGAUUCUGACACUGAGGAGCGAAAGCCAGGGGAGCGAACGGG